This 502-nucleotide long non-coding RNA is filed under the name Buteo japonicus. RNAcentral describes it as "lncRNA (ENSBJAG00000012966.1)". The record is from RNAcentral. Lineage: Eukaryota; Metazoa; Chordata; Aves; Accipitriformes; Accipitridae.
AUGGGCAUUCCUGUGAUGUCUGGAACACAGUGGCAAGUAUCUACUUCAGGGAAGUCCACGAUAGCCCAGUCUGAACUAGCAUCUUGGUGGUAUGUAAUUAGAGAAGAUGAGACAAGAAAUGCAGGAUGCCAUUUCACAGAAAUCUGAAGUGCUUCCUAGGGUUAGUAUGACAUCUGAAGUUCUGCAUAUUCCUUAAUGAUUUAAGAGCUCUGGUUUUCAGUGGCUGGAAGUCUGUAUGACAUCAAGCUUACUGACUUGUGGAGGGUUUCAGGGAGUUGUUUCAACUGUAUUUUAAUCUAGCAUUCACUCUAAGUGAAGAAUUUAUUUUAACUUUGAUUUGUCCAAAGAACACUCACAAAUUUCUCAGUCAAAAAGGAGGUGAUCAGCUUAACUGCUUCAACUGAUAGUAUUACUUGUACAAGUAAUUAAUUUAACACUUAGCAGGAAAGUUAUGUGGAGGAUUCUGUUUGAGUACAAUUUUGUAGUUAAUUCCCUUUGUUCU